GAUGAACGCUGGCGGCGUGCUUAACACAUGCGAGUCGAACGGAAAGGCCCAAGCUUGCUUGGGUACUCGAGUGGCGAACGGGUGAGUAACACGUGGGUGAUCUGCCCUGCACUUCGGGAUAAGCCUGGGAAACUGGGUCUAAUACCGGAUAGGACCACAUUUUGGAUGGUGUGGUGGAAAGUUUUUCGGUGUGGGAUGAGCUCGCGGCCUAUCAGCUUGUUGGUGGGGUAAUGGCCUACCAAGGCGUCGACGGGUAGCCGGCCUGUGAGGGUGUACGGCCACAUUGGGACUGAGAUACGGCCCAGACUCCUACGGGAGGCAGCAGUGGGGAAUAUUGCACAAUGGGCGCAAGCCUGAUGCAGCGACGCCGCGUGGGGGAUGACGGCCUUCGGGUUGUAAACUCCUUUCGCUAGGGACGAAGCGUUAUGUGACGGUACCUGGAGAAGAAGCACCGGCUAACUACGUG
Molecule: ribosomal RNA, 466 nt
Filed under: uncultured bacterium
Lineage: Bacteria
Description: partial 16S ribosomal RNA
Rfam family: Bacterial small subunit ribosomal RNA
Source: RNAcentral